RNAcentral lists this ribosomal RNA (1481 nucleotides) under uncultured bacterium. RNAcentral describes it as "bacterial SSU rRNA". It matches the Rfam family "Bacterial small subunit ribosomal RNA". The record is from RNAcentral.
AGAGUUUGAUCCUGGCUCAGGAUGAACGCUAGCUACAGGCUUAACACAUGCAAGUCGAGGGGCAGCAUGCAGGAAGCUUGCUUUCUGCGAUGGCGACCGGCGGAUGGGUGAGUAACGCGUAUCCAACCUGCCCCGUGCUCGGGGACAGCCCUUAGAAAUGAGGAUUAACCCCCGAUGGCGUAGGGAUCCCGCAUGGUAUUCCUACUAAAGUUUACGGCACGGGAUGGGGAUGCGUUCCAUUAGAUAGUAGGCGGGGCAACGGCCCACCUAGUCGACGAUGGAUAGGGGUUCUGAGAGGAAGGUCCCCCACAUUGGAACUGAGACACGGUCCAAACUCCUACGGGAGGCAGCAGUGAGGAAUAUUGGUCAAUGGACGCGAGCCUGAACCAGCCAAGUAGCGUGGAGGAUGAAUGCCCUACGGGUUGUAACUCCUUUGGCGAGGAUAAAGAGUGCCACGCGUGGCAAGUGCAGGUAUCCGCCGAAUAAGGGCCGGCUAAUCGUGCCAGCAGCCGCGUAAUACGGAAGGCCCGAGCGUAUCCGGAUUUAUUGGGUUUAAAGGGAGCGUAGGCGGGAGAUCAAGUCAGCUGUGAAACUGCGCCGCUCAACGGCGCCGAGCAGUUGAAACUGGUUUCCUUGAGUCCGCAAGAGGCGCGUGGAAUUCGUGGUGUAGCGGUGAAAUGCAUAGAUAUCACGAAGAACUCCGAUUGCGAAGGCAGCGCGCUGGGGCGUCACUGACGCUGAAGCUCGAAGGUGCGGGUAUCGAACAGGAUUAGAUACCCUGGUAGUCCGCACAGUGAACGAUGGAUGCCCGCGGUCUGUGCUUAGUCAUGGGCCGCCAAGCGAAAGCGUUAAGCAUCCCACCUGGGGAGUACGCCGGCAACGGUGAAACUCAAGGAAUUGACGGGGGCCCGCACAAGCGGAGGAACAUGUGGUUUAAUUCGAUGAUACGCGAGGAACCUUACCCGGGCUUGAAAAGUCCGCCGCGGAGACCAGAGACGGUCUCCUCCUUCGGGGGCGGAUGUAGGUGCUGCAUGGUUGUCGUCAGCUCGUGCCGUGAGGUGUCGGCUCAAGUGCCAUAACGAGCGCAACCCCUACCGCCGGUUACCAUCGGGUAAUGCCGGGGACUCCGGCGGCACUGCCAUCGCAAGAUGCGAGGAAGGCGGGGAUGACGUCAAAUCAGCACGGCCCUUACGUCCGGGGCUACACACGUGUUACAAUGGGGGGUACAGAGGGCCGUAUCCGGGCGACCGGUGUCCAAUCCCGAAAUCCCCUCCCAGUUCGGACUGGAGUCUGCAACCCGACUCCACGAAGCUGGAUUCGCUAGUAAUCGCGCAUCAGCCAUGGCGCGGUGAAUACGUUCCCGGGCCUUGUACACACCGCCCGUCAAGCCAUGGAAGCUGGGGGUACCUGAAGUCGGUGACCGUAAAAGGAGCUGCCUAGGGUAAAACUAGUAACUAGGGCUAAGUCGUAACAAGGUAACC